UGAAAACUAGGAAAUCCACCAUUCUGUCAUUCUAGAGCUUCAUUAGUAGUUGACCUACUUUCAAUAACAUUAAUUCAAUAGACUUGAAGCAGAUGAAAUGGGACAAAUAUUGCAUAAAAAUGAAAUUAUUCAGAGCAUUUUAUUUAUCUACACUACAGAUUAAAUGUGUCUGUUUCUGAGGUCUUAGAGAAACAAGGGUAAGUUUGAAUCCAGAGAACCUGGCCUGAGUGAUGACCACUGAGACCUACCAGGUGACUGACCUUAAGAAAGAAGGAUUGUCUCUGAGUUUCCAUUCCUUAACAAGCAUAUCGGAAUAAUAACUUGGACUUCUGACAUUUGUAGGAGUACUAAUUAA
This is a long non-coding RNA of Ochotona princeps (American pika), 355 nucleotides long. RefSeq lists it as uncharacterized. NCBI's taxonomy places the organism in Eukaryota, Metazoa, Chordata, Mammalia, Lagomorpha, Ochotonidae. The transcript has 3 exons. The record is from RefSeq and is a predicted model, not a curated record.